This is a long non-coding RNA of Gadus macrocephalus (Pacific cod), 1400 nucleotides long. RefSeq lists it as uncharacterized. The record is from RefSeq and is a predicted model, not a curated record. NCBI's taxonomy places the organism in Eukaryota, Metazoa, Chordata, Actinopteri, Gadiformes, Gadidae. The transcript is spliced from 6 exons.
CACCUCCUCACCCCGAGCCAGACCUCCACCUCCUCACCCCGAGCCAGACCUCCACCUCCUCACCCAGAGCCAGACCUCCACCUCCUCACCCAGAGCCGGACCUCCACCUCCUCACCCAGAGCCGGACCUCCACCUCCUCACCCAGAGCCGGACCUCCACCUCCUCACCCAGAGCCGGACCUCCACCUCCUCACCCAGAGCCAGACCUCCACCUCCUCACCCAGAGCCGGACCUCCACCUCCUCACCCAGAGCCAGACCUCCACCUCCUGUCAGAAGUCCUCCAGAACAGCUGAAAGGCGAGGCUGAGAGGCUGGAGACCGGAGGCUUAUUGUGCCAGGAUGGACCGGAGACUGAGGCUGGAGACCAGGGGCCUGCAGCACCGGACCAGUGACCAGGAAUCCAUGGCUGAAGGAGCUGAUGGAGGAGCCGUGCUGAAGGAGCUGAUGGAGGAGCCGUGCUGAAGGCCCUGCCUGGUUGAGGAUCUGGUGGAGGCCCUGCCUGGUGAAGGACGUCUGUCGUGGGACCACGACUCUGUCUGAGGAGAGCUGCUGGAGGACGACUAGGAAUCGACCAACAAGGAUUCCUCAGACCAAUUACGUUUGUAACCAGACCAGGAAUCUGGAGGACUGAUGGAGAAGCCGUACAUCUGGAAGGCAAAUCCUGAGGACGACCAAGACUCUACCAUCAAGGAUUCCUCACACACCUGAGCUGAACCCGCCCUGAUCCUGACAUCCUGCUGGUCCCGUCUCCUCAGUUAAUCUGAGCCUCGUCCUCCCGAAGACCUGCUGAGCUCAGCAGUCUGAGGCUGAUGGAUCAAUGACCUCCAGUGGGAGUGAUCUUCUUAACCCCACAUGUAACCGUGUGCUUCCACACGCCUUUCCCUCACGUAUGUCAUUAACCUCACUACUUCACUACUCUCUACUGCUUCCUCUUCUUCUUCCUUCUCUGUCGUUCGAACCUUUACACGGAAGGCGCGUCUUCCUGCCCUCAGAGGGUUUAGCGUUAGGGUUGAGUGUCAGGGUUUAGAGUCAGGGACAGAGCUGGGCAGGGAGGACUGCUUUUACACAAACCUCACUUGCUUUCGGAAUGGUGGUUACAUUUUGAAAAGAUUCAUUCGGGAAAAUGUUUUCAUCUGCUUCCCUUUACAAAAUUGUAUUGAACUUCUGUCAAGUGUUUUUGUUUAUAUAUUAAAAUCCCACAUUGACUUCUACAUGUUUGGUGCGGUUCAUUUAUUUGUCCUUUAACUUGGUUAAUGUCAAGCUAAACUCCUGCAAUACAUUUAAUAUACAUGAUUGUUAUUCAGCAAUGUUCACAUAAUCCAUUUAGUAAAAAUAUGAAACCUCAAUAUUACUAAAAAAUUCAAGCCUAUUCAUGUAUUUAACAAUGUACAUACUGCCCUG